RNAcentral lists this non-coding RNA (121 nucleotides) under Merops nubicus (carmine bee-eater). The record is from RNAcentral. Lineage: Eukaryota; Metazoa; Chordata; Aves; Coraciiformes; Meropidae.
GUGUGUUAUGAAAGGAGGGAAGUUUAGCACUCCCCUUGAUAAGGAUGGAACAGGCCCCAGUGGCCUGUACAACAUGCAUGCAGUUAAGGCACUGGUUGGACUUGAUGAUCUUAAAGGUUUU